UACGUAGGUGGCAAGCGUUGUCCGGAUUUACUGGGCGUAAAGAGCGCGCAGGCGGUCGUUCAAGUCGCGUGUGAAAGCCCCCGGCUCAACUGGGGAGGGUCACGCGAUACUGAUCGACUCGAAGGCAGGAGAGGGUAGUGGAAUUCCCGGUGUAGUGGUGAAAUGCGUAGAUAUCGGGAGGAACACCGGCGGCGAAGGCGGCGACCUGGGUCGAUACUGACGCUGAGGCGCGAAAGCGUGGGGAGCAAACAGG
This 253-nucleotide ribosomal RNA is filed under the name uncultured bacterium. RNAcentral's name for it is "partial 16S ribosomal RNA". It matches the Rfam family "Bacterial small subunit ribosomal RNA", at positions 524 to 776 of the family's 1533-position model. The record is from RNAcentral.